This 474-nucleotide ribosomal RNA is filed under the name uncultured bacterium. Its description in RNAcentral is "bacterial SSU rRNA". It matches the Rfam family "Bacterial small subunit ribosomal RNA", at positions 335 to 800 of the family's 1533-position model. The record is from RNAcentral.
ACUCCUACGGGAGGCAGCAGUGGGGAAUAUUGCACAAUGGGCGCAAGCCUGAUGCAGCCAUGCCGCGUGUAUGAAGAAGGCCUUCGGGUUGUAAAGUACUUUCAGCAGUGAGGAAGGUGGGUAUGUUAAUAGCAUACUCAUUUGACGUUAGCUGCAGAAGAAGCACCGGCUAACUCCGUGCCAGCAGCCGCGGUAAUACGGAGGGUGCGAGCGUUAAUCGGAAUUACUGGGCGUAAAGCGCAUGCAGGUGGUUUGUUAAGUCAGAUGUGAAAGCCCGGGGCUCAACCUCGGAAUUGCAUUUGAAACUGGCAAACUAGAGUACUGUAGAGGGGGGGUAGAAUUUGAGGUGUAGCGGUGAAAUGCGUAGAGAUCUGAAGGAAUACCGGUGGCGAAGGCGGCCCCCUGGACAGAUACUGACACUCAGAUGCGAAAGCGGUGGGGAGCAAACAGGAUUAGAUACCCUGGUAGCUCUGC